RNAcentral lists this ribosomal RNA (567 nucleotides) under uncultured eukaryote. RNAcentral's name for it is "SSU rRNA". It matches the Rfam family "Eukaryotic small subunit ribosomal RNA", at positions 593 to 1164 of the family's 1831-position model. The record is from RNAcentral.
AAUAGCGUAUAUUAAAGUUGUUGCAGUUAAAAAGCUCGUAGUUGAACCUUGGGUCUGGCUGGCCGGUCCGCCUCACCGCGAGUACUGGUCCGGCUGGACCUUUCCUUCUGGGGAACCCCAUGGCCUUCACUGGCCGUGGCGGGGAACCAGGACUUUUACUGUGAAAAAAUUAGAGUGUUCAAAGCAGGCCUUUGCUCGAAUACAUUAGCAUGGAAUAAUAGAAUAGGACGUGUGGUUCUAUUUUGUUGGUUUCUAGGACCGCCGUAAUGAUUAAUAGGGAUAGUCGGGGGCGUCAGUAUUCAGCUGUCAGAGGUGAAAUUCUUGGAUUUGCUGAAGACUAACUACUGCGAAAGCAUUCGCCAAGGAUGUUUUCAUUAAUCAGGGAACGAAAGUUAGGGGAUCGAAGACGAUCAGAUACCGUCGUAGUCUUAACCAUAAACUAUGCCGACUAGGGAUCGGACGGUGUUUCUAUUAUGACCCGUUCGGCACCUUACGAGAAAUCAAAGUUUUUGGGUUCUGGGGGGAGUAUGGUCGCAAGGCUGAAACUUAAAGAAAUUGACGGAAGGG